RNAcentral lists this long non-coding RNA (3464 nucleotides) under Canis lupus familiaris (dog). RNAcentral's name for it is "lncRNA (ENSCAFG00845019985.1)". The record is from RNAcentral. Lineage: Eukaryota; Metazoa; Chordata; Mammalia; Carnivora; Canidae.
UUUUCUUAUUAUACUAUAGGGCUUCCAGUAAAAUCUUGAAUAGACGUGGUAAGAGUGAACAUCCCUGCCUUGUUCCUGAUAUUAGUUGGAAAACAUCUAGUUCCUCCCCAUUAAGUAUGAUGUUAGCUGUAGAUUUUUUGCAGAUGUUCUUUAUCAGAUUGAGAAAGUCCCUCUCUAUUCCUUGUUUGCAGGAAUGGGUAUUGGAUUUUGUCACAUGCUUUUCCUGCAUCUAUUGCUACAAUCAUUGAUUAUAUAACUUUUUUUCUGUACCUUGUGGAUGGGAUGGGAUUACAUUAAUUGAUUUUUGAAUGCUGAACUAGCUUUGUAUACCUGGAAUAAAUCCCACUUGGUUGGGGCACCUGGGUGGAUCAGUUAAUUAAAUGUCAGACUCUUCAUUUUGGCUCAGAACAUGAUCUAUCCACUUACAAAUUCAAAAAUAUUGUUCAAAACAGUGUUUCCAAAAGGAAAAAUUAAAAAAAAAAAACACUCCUUAGAAAUGGACAAUAUACCUCUGUAUUAAAACCUGUAAAAUUCAGCCAAAAGAGAGCUCAUGGAAAAAAAAGCAUACACUUGAUCUAUUUCUGGAAAAACAAAAACAAAAACACAACAAGUAGGAGCACAGAAAAUAGGCUGAAUUUGAGCAUUUAGCUUAAGAAAUUAGAAAAUAACAAAUUAAAUAUAAAAAGAGGGCAAAGAAAAUUAUAAUCAAAUAAAAGAUCUCACCCCAGUAGCAACAAGCAUAUCUAGCAUCCAGAUCUUGAUUUCUAAUACCAAUAUCCAGUAAAAGGAACCAGGGCUUUCUGGAGAAAUGAGAUUCUAGUACUGAGCAUGAAAUAUACAAUAUGAUACAAGAGAUCUUAUAGUGCUAGAAAAUAACAUUACAAACAAAAGCCAAAAAGCCAAUAAGCAGAAGCCCACAUCGAUGGGCUAGGUGAAAGAAAGGAGCUAAAUGAAAGAGCUCCUAAUGGUUCAAAGUGCAACACUUUGAGAAAAAAAAUUAAUAAAAUAUUGUAUUAUAACCCAAAAUGAGAAAUGCAUAUCUCUGAGUCUAUACUGAUAUAAAUAAGUGAAUUAAAUAGGGGAAAAAAGUCAAAUCUCCCAUGCAGAAUUCCCAAAUUUAUGUAGAUAUUCCACCCUCAAGGAGGAAAAGUACAACUCCUCAAACCUAAGUACAAACUGUACACAGCGACUUCCUUUCAAAGAGUAGAGUAUAGGAAGGGAGAAAAAGGAAUAACACAUCUGCAUGAAUACCUCAAGUCAGAUGAUCAAGGUCAAAAUCAAUAAUACCAUGUUCAUAUAUGUGACUUUAGUAUUAUGUCAUGAAAACGGCACUUUACCUCUGUGGCCCUCCUUCUAAAAUUCUAUAACUCCAGUCUGACCAUAAGGAAAACACUAGACAAAUUCUAACAGAAGAACAUUCUACAAAACACUUGGUUGGUACUCCCCCCAAAUUACCAGAGUCAUCAAAAACAAGGCAAAUCUGAGAAAUAGUCAUAGCCAAGAGAAACAUAAGGAGAUACGACAACUAAAUGUAAUCUGGGAUCCUAGGUAAGAUCCUGGAAUAGAAAAACAGUAUCAGUUUAGAAACUCAGAAAAUCUGGAUAAAAUAUGGACUUUAAUUAAUGUACCAAUACUGACUCAUUAGUUCUAACAAAUAUGCUAUCAAUAAUAGGGAAUGUGGGGUGUAGGUAUAUGGGAACUCUGCAGUAUCUUCUCAAAACGGUCCUAAAAAGUGUAUUUUUUAAAAAGUAGAUUUGACAAAUCUAUAUAUCGAGCAAGUAUUUACUAAGUACCUAUUAUGUACUAAAUGUCACAUAUAUGGUAGUAACAAAAGGGUCAUUUUCCCUGACCUCAAAGAACAUAAAUUCUGGAGGUAGACAUUAAAGAAACACGCAUAAAUUUGUAUAUUAGCAAAUUAUGAUAGGUAUGUUAUUAAGAAAAUAGGAAGUUAGGGAGUUGAAAGAAGAAACCUAAAUGUUGAGAGACAACUGAAUGGUUUUAAGUCUAGGAGUCUAAAUAUAUUUGAAAUAUGCCUCUGCCUGUUAGGUAGAGAAAGAACUGUUGAGUCAAACCAUGAAAAUGAGGAGUCCUACUAGAAGAUUAAAAGAUGAUAAGGUUUAGACUUGGGUACUGGCAAGAUAUGGUAGAGAAUUAAGUAUGAAUAGAAAACUACUAGGUUUUAGUUUCUUCUUUCCUGCUACUUUCUAGAACUUUCUCAGUUCAAUAUGUUCUUAGUUGCUUGUCUUAGAUUUUCUAAAUAGACAAAUAUAUUAACUGUUUAAAAUGUUUAAUUUCUUUCUUUCCAGUAUUUAUACCUUAUUUAUCUCUCAUGUUUUAUUGCUUUGUCUGGUGUCUCUAGAAUAAUGUUGAUCUUGUCAGUAACAGCAAAUAUAUUAUUAUUUCUCACAUGAACAUAAAGCCACCAGACUAAAUAAAUGGUAGCUAAUAAAAACCUAAGGCACAUAAUAUGCUCGAGUCAAAAAGCACUUGAAUUAGUGUCAUUUUGUUCAGAUUGCUACCUAAUUUAAAUAUACAUAUGAAAAUGUUCCCAUUCAUUAUAACAAAAAGUAUAAAAUAUCCUAUAAUAAUCUUAAUAGAAAUACAAAGAAAUAAAUGAAUACAGCUCUAAAAUAUUGACAUUAAAAAAAACUAACAACCAGAAAACAAUGUGCAAAAUGAUAAUGAGUAUGUAUCAAUAAUUACUUUAAUAGGCCUAAAUGCUCCAAUCAAAACACAUAGGGUGGUUAAAUGGAUUAAAAAAACAAGACCCAUCUAUAUGCUAUCUACAAGAGACUCACUUCAGAUAUAAAGACAAAUAUAGACUGAAAGUGAAGAGAUGGAAAAGAUAUUCCAUGCAAAUGGAACCAAAAAGCUAUAGUAGCAAUACUCAUCAGACAAAACUUUUAAACAAUGACUGCAACAAAAGACAAAUGUUACAUAAUGAUUAAAGGGUCAAUCCAAGAAAAAAAUAGAACAUACCUAACCAGGAGUACUUAAAUAUAUAAAACAACUAUAAGCAGACAUAAAGAGGGAAAUUGACAGUAAUACUGUAAUAAUAGGAGACUUUAAUAUUCCACUUACAUUAAUGGACAGAUUAUCAACAAAAAAAGUCAACAAGGAAAUACUGUCCUUAAAAGAUCAAACCAGAUAGACUUAAUUAGAUUUACACAGAAAAAAAAAAAAAAUUUACACAGAACAUUUCAUCUCCAAACUACAAAGUACACAUUCUUUUCAAGUGCACACUGAACACUCUCCAGGAUCACUUUAGGAUACAAAACAAGUCUCAAUAAUUUAAGAACACUUAUAUCAUAUCAAGCAUCUCUUCCAAGCACAACAGCAUGAAGCUAGAAAUCAAUUACAAAAGUAAAACUGAGAGAAAAAAAAAAAAAAACCCAAAAAACAAAACCCACAAUACAUGGAGACUAAGAAACCAAGGGGCCAAAAAAAAAAAAAAAAAAAAAAAA